Molecule: non-coding RNA, 989 nt
Organism: Chlorocebus sabaeus (green monkey)
Lineage: Eukaryota; Metazoa; Chordata; Mammalia; Primates; Cercopithecidae
Source: RefSeq, a predicted model, not a curated record
UCUCGUAGCACACUCUGUAUUGUUCGAAGUUGAGAGAGAAGGAGCCCGAGUCUCCGAGGUGGCGUUGGGUGGGGGCGCCACUAGCUCCAGUUCGCUCGACGUCUCUAGAGGGAAGGGCGCCAGUGGGAGCAGGAGAGUCUGCACCGGGCAGGCCUCCUUAGGUGCCGCGUUGCGCGUAGGGCCCUGUGCUUGCCUCGCCUCCGGUUGGCUCAGGCCUCGGAGCAUGAGUGCGCCGGCAACUGCUGGGCCCGGGACAGUGAAGCAGAGGAGGAGGUGGGGGAGGCGAGCCCAGGGCAGGGAAGGGCAACCCUUAAAUCACCCGUGGGGCACAGAGCUGGCCGGCUCCAGCCGUGGCCUGGCGAUGCAGCCCCGGGGUUCUCCCGCUCCCCGCUGGCCCGAGGGCGCACCACGUGCUGGGCAGAGACUUCGGCGAGGCCGAGUGGACCCUGCAGCUCCGCUUGGGAAAGGGCACCUUGGACUACCUGGUGGGGGCGCUGUGCUUCGUUACCCAGCGCCGGGACGCCAACCCACGGUGCCCACCUGUUGCAAGGUCACACGGAUGUCUGCAGGCAGAGGUGGGGCUGCUGGGGCCCUGCCAGGUGGGAUAGGAGCAUCCCAGGUGCUGCAAGGGUUUAAUCGGGCUCUUCUGCUGGCCCUGAAUACGGUGGACAGGACAGGACAUUCUCAUUGCUCGGGAGCCACUGGCGCUGCCUUUGGGAAUGAAAUUCCACAGCCUCCCACUCAUGGCUUUGUCUGCUGCAUCUGAAACUGUAGGAGGAUCAGGAGGAAGGCUGCAGGGCAGCUGCUUCCGGCUCGCUGAGACCCAGCCAUGGAAAGCACAGAAAGGCAUGUGACAAGAAACUCAUGGCUUUUAAUCCUGGCAGGACAAGGAAAACCCCAAGUCAAAGAUACACAUAUAUUUUGCUACUCUCCUCUUGGGGGAACAGUUCGUCACAUUUAAUAAAACUCUCUCCCCUCCCUCCUCCCAA